Molecule: ribosomal RNA, 740 nt
Filed under: Microbacterium sp. sed365
Lineage: Bacteria; Bacillati; Actinomycetota; Actinomycetes; Micrococcales; Microbacteriaceae
Description: bacterial SSU rRNA
Rfam family: Bacterial small subunit ribosomal RNA
Source: RNAcentral
CGAACGGUGAACACGGAGCUUGCUCUGUGGGAUCAGUGGCGAACGGGUGAGUAACACGUGAGCAACCUGCCCCUGACUCUGGGAUAAGCGCUGGAAACGGCGUCUAAUACUGGAUAUGUGACGUGACCGCAUGGUCUGCGUCUGGAAAGAAUUUCGGUUGGGGAUGGGCUCGCGGCCUAUCAGCUUGUUGGUGAGGUAAUGGCUCACCAAGGCGUCGACGGGUAGCCGGCCUGAGAGGGUGACCGGCCACACUGGGACUGAGACACGGCCCAGACUCCUACGGGAGGCAGCAGUGGGGAAUAUUGCACAAUGGGCGCAAGCCUGAUGCAGCAACGCCGCGUGAGGGACGACGGCCUUCGGGUUGUAAACCUCUUUUAGCAGGGAAGAAGCGAAAGUGACGGUACCUGCAGAAAAAGCGCCGGCUAACUACGUGCCAGCAGCCGCGGUAAUACGUAGGGCGCAAGCGUUAUCCGGAAUUAUUGGGCGUAAAGAGCUCGUAGGCGGUUUGUCGCGUCUGCUGUGAAAUCCGGAGGCUCAACCUCCGGCCUGCAGUGGGUACGGGCAGACUAGAGUGCGGUAGGGGAGAUUGGAAUUCCUGGUGUAGCGGUGGAAUGCGCAGAUAUCAGGAGGAACACCGAUGGCGAAGGCAGAUCUCUGGGCCGUAACUGACGCUGAGGAGCGAAAGGGUGGGGAGCAAACAGGCUUAGAUACCCUGGUAGUCCACCCCGUAAACGUUGGGA